UGAGAGGUCUUGAGCUCCUUCUGUUGGC
Molecule: non-coding RNA, 28 nt
Filed under: Mus musculus (house mouse)
Lineage: Eukaryota; Metazoa; Chordata; Mammalia; Rodentia; Muridae
Source: RNAcentral